CUACGGGUGGCUGCAGUGGGGAAUAUUGAACAAUGGGCGAAAGCCUGAUCCAGCAAUGCCGCGUGAGUGAUGAAGGCCUUAGGGUUGUAAAGCUCUUUUACCCGGGAUGAUAAUGACAGUACCGGGAGAAUAAGCUCCGGCUAACUCCGUGCCAGCAGCCGCGGUAAUACGGAGGGAGCUAGCGUUGUUCGGAAUUACUGGGCGUAAAGCGCACGUAGGCGGCUUUGUAAGUCAGAGGUGAAAGCCUGGGGCUCAACUCCAGAACUGCCUUUGAGACUGCAUCGCUUGAAUCCAGGAGAGGUGAGUGGAAUUCCGAGUGUAGAGGUGAAAUUCGUAGAUAUUCGGAAGAACACCAGUGGCGAAGGCGGCUCACUGGACUGGUAUUGACGCUGAGGUGCGAAAGCGUGGGGAGCAAACAGGAUUAGAUACCCUUGUAGUC
RNAcentral lists this ribosomal RNA (439 nucleotides) under uncultured bacterium. Its description in RNAcentral is "partial 16S ribosomal RNA". It matches the Rfam family "Bacterial small subunit ribosomal RNA", at positions 339 to 795 of the family's 1533-position model. The record is from RNAcentral.